UACGUAGGGUGCAAGCGUUGUCCGGAAUUAUUGGGCGUAAAGAGCUCGUAGGCGGUCUGUCGCGUCUGCUGUGAAAACUCGGGGCUUAACCCCGGGCCUGCAGUGGGUACGGGCAGACUAGAGUGCGGUAGGGGAGACUGGAAUUCCUGGUGUAGCGGUGAAAUGCGCAGAUAUCAGGAGGAACACCGAUGGCGAAGGCAGGUCUCUGGGCAUUAACUGACGCUGAGGAGCGAAAGCAUGGGGAGCGAACGGG
RNAcentral lists this ribosomal RNA (253 nucleotides) under uncultured bacterium. RNAcentral describes it as "partial 16S ribosomal RNA". It matches the Rfam family "Bacterial small subunit ribosomal RNA", at positions 524 to 776 of the family's 1533-position model. The record is from RNAcentral.